This 5297-nucleotide unclassified non-coding RNA is filed under the name Hevea brasiliensis (rubber tree). The record is from RNAcentral. Lineage: Eukaryota; Viridiplantae; Streptophyta; Magnoliopsida; Malpighiales; Euphorbiaceae.
UUUUUUUUUUUUUUUUAAUAAAAGAACACGAAAAUCACGCACAAAAUUCAGAUUCCAGAAACUCAGAAAUCCCAACUGCUUUUGUUCUACCUCUAAAUUUAGUGGAUCUGCUGCUAAAUUUGGAGUGGCACGAAUUAAUUAGGGUUUUUCUGUGAGAGAAAGUUUGCAUAGUUCACUAAAUCUCUCAAGAUGAUGAUCUCUAGGGGAUUGUUUGGAUGGUCCCCACCGCAUAUACAGCCGUUAACGCCCGUUUCUGAGGUCUCUGAGCCACCGGAGUCGCCUUCGCCGUAUAUGGAUACCAGUGGUGAGGCGGCUGCCGCAGCCGCUGCUGCGGCGCAGGCGGAGGAGGAGGAGGAGAUGGAGGAGCCUGAGGAACUUGAGCCGCCCCCUGCUGCUGUUCCGUUCACGCAGUUGUUGGCUUGUGCUGACCGGCUUGACUGGGGUAUCAUGAUCGUUGGUUCGAUUGCUGCUGCCGCCCAUGGCACUGCGCUUGUUGUUUUCUUGCACUAUUUUGCGAAGAUCGUUGAGGUUAUGCGGAUUGGUCCUGAUGGUCCUGCUAGACCUGAGGAGCGAUUUGAGAGGUUAAAAGAUGCUUGGACAGCUUCACCUUGAACUUAGUGGGGCAUUUAUGAGUACUUAAGACACUGCCAUGUUUAUUCACUUCAAUCGUUCUGCCUUCAUCCUAAGUGUGAUAUCUUCAUCAAUUUUCCUAUGCCUUUAUGGGAUGUAACCUAGCUAUCUUUAACCAUUGUUUAUAUAGCUGUGGGUGUUUUUGCAGCUGGUUGGAUUGAGGUAUCGUGCUGGAUUUUGACUGGGGAGCGUCAGACAGCUGUUAUUAGGUCCAACUAUGUUCACGUAUUACUUAAUCAGGACAUGAGCUUUUUUGACACCUAUGGGAACAAUGGGGACAUUGUAAGCCAAGUAUUGAGUGAUGUGCUGCUCAUUCAGUCUGCUCUUAGUGAGAAGGUCGGAAACUAUAUUCAUAACAUGGCAACAUUUAUUGGUGGUCUUGUUAUUGGAUUUAUCAACUGCUGGCAGAUUGCCCUUAUAACAUUAGCCACUGGUCCAUUCAUUGUUGCUGCUGGAGGCAUAUCAAAUAUAUUUCUUCACAGGCUUGCCGAGAGUAUUCAAGAUGCAUAUGCAGAAGCCGCUAGCGUUGCUGAACAGGCAGUCUCAUAUAUUAGGACCUUAUAUGCAUUUACAAAUGAAACAUUGGCCAAGUAUUCUUAUGCAACCUCAUUGCAAGCAACUCUGAGAUAUGGUAUUUUGAUUAGUCUUGUGCAAGGACUUGGACUUGGGUUUACAUAUGGGCUUGCAAUAUGUUCUUGUGCCUUACAACUAUGGGUAGGAAGGUUCCUGGUUACGCAUAAGCAAGCUCAUGGUGGUGAAAUAAUAACAGCAUUGUUUGCUGUAAUUUUGAGCGGCCUUGGGCUAAAUCAAGCAGCGACAAACUUCUAUUCAUUUGACCAAGGACGAAUUGCUGCUUAUAGACUUUAUGAGAUGAUAAGCCGAUCUUCCUCCACAGUUAAUCAAGAUGGAAACACCCUAGUGUUGGUGCAAGGAAAUAUCGAGUUUCGGAAUGUAUAUUUUAGCUAUCUAUCUCGUCCUGAUAUCCCCAUCUUGAGUGGAUUUUACCUCACUGUUCCUGCUAAAAAGGCUGUGGCACUUGUUGGCAGAAAUGGCUCCGGAAAAAGUAGUAUCAUCCCUCUCAUGGAGCGGUUUUAUGAUCCUACCUUAGGAGAAGUUCUUUUAGAUGGAGAGAAUAUUAAAAACCUGAAGUUGGAAUGGCUCAGAAGCCUAAUAGGACUAGUCACCCAGGAACCUGCCUUGCUGAGUUUGAGCAUAAAAGAUAAUAUUGCAUAUGGACGAGAUGCUACUUUGGAUCAGAUUGAAGAAGCAGCCAAAAUAGCACAUGCGCAUACAUUUAUCAGCUCACUUGAGAGGGGCUAUGAGACACAGGUGGGUAGAGCUGGUUUAGCAUUGACAGAGGAACAGAAAAUUAAACUUUCUAUUGCUAGAGCGGUGCUGUUGAAUCCAACAAUUCUUCUGCUUGAUGAGGUUACUGGUGGACUUGAUUUUGAAGCUGAGAGAACAGUUCAGGAGGCUCUAGAUCUCCUCAUGUUGGGACGGUCAACCAUAAUAAUUGCUCGACGACUUAGUCUUAUUAGGAAUGCUGAUUACAUAGCUGUAAUGGAGGAAGGUCAGCUUGUUGAAAUGGGUACACAUGAUGAACUAUUAAACCUGGAUGGUCUAUAUGCUGAGCUUCUCAAAUGUGAAGAAGCUGCAAAACUUCCAAGGAGGAUGCCAGCUAGAAAUUAUAGGGAGACUGCUGCUUUCCAAAUUGAAACGGAUUCUUCUGCCAGUCACAGCUUCCAAGAACCAUCGUCUCCUAAAAUGAUGAAAUCACCAUCUCUUCAGAGAGUUCCAGGUGUAGUUCGGCCUAUGGAUGGCACCUUUAACUCGCAAGAAUCACCAAAAUCUCUGAGUCCACCACCAGAGAAAAUGAUGGAAAAUGGUUGUCGCUUGGAUGCAGCUGAUAAAGAACCAUCAAUAAGGAGACAGGAUAGUUUUGAAAUGCGACUACCAGAGUUACCCAAGAUUGAUGUCCAGUCUGCAAAUCGGCAAACAUCAAAUGGGUCAGAUCCUGAAUCACCUGUAUCGCCCCUUUUGACUUCUGAUCCUAAAAAUGAACGUUCCCACUCACAGACUUUUAGUCGGCCUCAUAGUCACUCGGAUGAUAUUCCAACUACAUGUAAGGAUGCAAAGGAUACAAAGCAUCGGGAAGCACCAUCUUUUUGGAGGCUGGCAGAACUUAGCUUUGCAGAGUGGCUUUAUGCUGUUUUAGGAAGCAUUGGAGCUGCUAUCUUUGGUUCUCUUAAUCCACUUCUUGCUUAUGUUAUUGCGCUGAUAGUGACCGCUUAUUAUAGGCCUGAACAUCCUCACUUGCGGCAGGAUGUAAACAAGUGGUGCUUGAUCAUUGCCUGCAUGGGUGUGGUGACAGUUGUUGCAAAUUUUUUGCAGCACUUCUAUUUUGGUAUUAUGGGUGAAAAAAUGACUGAACGAAUCCGGAGAAUGAUGUUUUCAGCAAUGCUGCGCAAUGAAGUUGGUUGGUUUGAUAAAGAGGAGAAUAGUGCCGACACAUUGUCCAUGCGGUUGGCUAAUGAUGCUACAUUUGUGCGAGCAGCAUUUAGCAACCGGCUUUCAAUAUUUAUACAGGACAGUGCUGCUGUUGUUGUUGCUAUAAUCAUUGGAAUGCUGCUUCAAUGGCGAUUAGCUCUCGUGGCAUUGGCAACCUUGCCAAUUCUCAUGGUUUCUGCAAUUGCACAGAAAUUGUGGCUUGCUGGAUUUUCAAGGGGCAUCCAGGAGAUGCACAGGAAGGCAUCAUUGGUCCUUGAGGAUGCUGUUAGAAACAUUUACACUGUUGUAGCAUUCUGUGCUGGUAACAAAGUAAUGGAGCUCUACAGAUUGCAACUGAAGAAAAUAUUCAGAGAGAGUUUUUUACACGGAAUGGCUAUUGGUUUUGCAUUUGGCUUUUCACAGUUUCUUCUAUUUGCCUGUAAUGCACUUCUUCUCUGGUACACUGCUUAUUCUGUAAAGAAUCAUUAUAUGGAUCUGCCUACAGCCAUCAAGGAGUACAUGGUUUUCUCAUUUGCAACAUUUGCACUAGUUGAGCCUUUUGGAUUGGCUCCAUACAUUCUUAAACGGCGGAAAUCUCUCAUUUCAGUAUUUGAAAUUAUAGAUCGAGUGCCCAAAAUUGAUCCAGAUGAUAACUCAGCACUGAAACCACCUAAUGUCUAUGGGAGCAUCGAGUUGAAAAAUAUCGAUUUCUGUUAUCCUACUCGCCCAGAAGUGUUGGUAUUGAGCAAUUUCAGUCUCAAAGUUAAUGGUGGUCAAACUGUAGCUGUGGUAGGAGUUUCAGGUUCUGGAAAGAGCACUAUAAUCUCUUUAAUUGAGAGAUUUUAUGAUCCAGUUGCUGGUCAGGUUCUGCUUGAUGGGCGAGAUUUGAAACUUUAUAAUUUGAGAUGGUUAAGAAGCCACCUUGGUGUGGUUCAGCAGGAACCAAUUAUCUUCUCAACAACCAUAAAAGAAAACAUUAUAUAUGCUAGACACAACGCUAGCGAAGCUGAGAUGAAAGAGGCUGCAAGAAUAGCAAAUGCUCACCAUUUCAUCAGCAGCCUGCCUCAUGGUUAUGACACACAUGUGGGAAUGAGGGGUGUAGACCUGACACCAGGACAGAAGCAGAGAAUUGCAAUUGCUCGAGUGGUGCUGAAGAAUGCACCCAUCUUGUUAUUGGAUGAAGCUAGCUCGUCCAUUGAAUCUGAAUCUAGUAGAGUGGUGCAAGAGGCACUAGAUACACUAAUUAUGGGAAACAAAACAACCAUUCUGAUAGCACAUAGGGCUGCAAUGAUGAGGCAUGUUGACAAUAUCGUGGUUCUAAAUGGAGGACGAAUAGUUGAGGAAGGGACCCAUGAUUCUUUGAUGGUGAAGAACGGCUUGUAUGUCAGGCUGAUGCAACCCCACUUUGGAAAGGGUUUACGACAGCAUCGACUUGUUUAGGUUGGUUGACAUUUGGGCAUAGUUCUUUUGUAUAGCUCUUAUUGGCCAUUUUUAUAUUGCUGGAACUUGUUGGCAAUAUGGAAGAAUACAUUCCGGAGUGGGGAAGUACAAACAAGAAUUCUGAGGCUUGUAACAAUUUUUGCAUGGUUGGAUGGGCGGGUUGCAGUGGUGACAGUGACAGUUAUAGUGUUCGAAUGUAGGGUUUAGGAAUAGGGAUUUUGGAGCUUGGUUGGCCAUUGAGGACAUGCUCUCGGGGCUAGAUGCGUAUUCUUUUUGGAGGCAAGGAUUAGGUUGUUGCCUUGUCUCCUUGGUAUAUUGAUUUGUUCAUUAAAAAAAAAUUGGGUUGGGGUGGAGAUAAUUCUGGCCCUAAUGAGCUGUGCUUCUUGGGUUUUGUUUUUAGACUUCCUAGAUUUUUUUUCCCCUUGUUUUCAUAUGGAUUAAUGUGACUCUGGCUAGCAUGGAUGAUGGAUGACUAGCAUGGAUGAUGGAUGUGUUUCAUACUGUAAAUUUACAUUUGUGAAAACUAUAGAAAAUUUAGAAGAGGAAAAGAGGUGGAGGGCAUUUGUUGUAAUCUUCCUUUGUAAAUAACCACUUGGAUAAUUUAUCAGCAUUUUAACCUUUUCCGGCAUAAUUAACUAGUUCAAUUUUUAUCCCAUUUUGCUUUUAAUGUGUCAGAUUAGUGCCCCUUUUGUAAUGCCUGAUGAGGGAUAUGAACAUCUUCUAUCUGUUCUUGAAGUAGG